RNAcentral lists this ribosomal RNA (406 nucleotides) under uncultured bacterium. Its description in RNAcentral is "partial 16S ribosomal RNA". It matches the Rfam family "Bacterial small subunit ribosomal RNA", at positions 28 to 526 of the family's 1533-position model. The record is from RNAcentral.
GAUGAACGCUAGCUACAGGCUUAACACAUGCAAGUCGAGGGACCGGCGGACGGGUGAGUAACACGUAUCUAACCUGUCCUUUACUCGGGGAUCGCGAAUCGAAAGAAAGAUUAAUACCCGGUGUAAAGGCUGGGGAUGCGUUCCAUUAGGUUGUUGGUGCGGGAACGGCUGACCAAGCCUUCGAUGCAUAGGGGUUCUGAGAGGAAGUUCCACCACAAUGGAACUGAGACACGGUCCAAAAUCCGACGGGAGGCAGCAGUGAGGAAGAGUGGUCAAUGGGCGUUAGCCUGACCCUGCCAAGUAUCGGGAAGGAUGAAGGCUUGUGGGUCGUAAACUUCUUUUAUAUAAGAAUAGUUAUUAUAUGAAUAAGGAGCGGCUAACUCCGUGCCAGCAGCCGCGGUAAUUC